Molecule: ribosomal RNA, 378 nt
Filed under: uncultured bacterium
Lineage: Bacteria
Description: bacterial SSU rRNA
Rfam family: Bacterial small subunit ribosomal RNA
Source: RNAcentral
UAAGACGAACCGUCCAAACGUUAUUCGGAAUCACUGGGCUUAAAGGGUGCGUAGGCGGCCCGAUAAGUUGGGUGUGAAAGCCCUCGGCUCAACCGAGGAACUGCGCCCAAAACUGACGGGCUAGAGGAAGAUAUAGGUGAGCGGAACUUAGGGUGGAGCGGUGAAAUGCGUUGAGAUCCUAAGGAACACCAGUAGCGAAAGCGGCUCACUGGGUCUUUUCUGACGCUGAGUGCACGAAAGCUAGGGGAGCGAAGAGGAUUAGAUACCCUCGUAGUCCUAGCCGUAAACGAUGAGCACUGGUUUGGAGGGUCCUCCAUAGCCUUCCAGACGUAGCGAAAGUGUUAAGUGCUCCGCCUGGGGAGUAUGGUCGCAAGGCUG